AACACAUGCAAGUCGAGGGGCAGCAUGGUCUUAGCUUGCUAAGGCCGAUGGCGACCGGCGCACGGGUGAGUAACACGUAUCCAACCUGCCGUCUACUCUUGGACAGCCUUCUGAAAGGAAGAUUAAUACAAGAUGGCAUCAUGAGUCCGCAUGUUCACAUGAUUAAAGGUAUUCCGGUAGACGAUGGGGAUGCGUUCCAUUAGAUAGUAGGCGGGGUAACGGCCCACCUAGUCUUCGAUGGAUAGGGGUUCUGAGAGGAAGGUCCCCCACAUUGGAACUGAGACACGGUCCAAACUCCUACGGGAGGCAGCAGUGAGGAAUAUUGGUCAAUGGGCGAGAGCCUGAACCAGCCAAGUAGCGUGAAGGAUGACUGCCCUAUGGGUUGUAAACUUCUUUUAUAAAGGAAUAAAGUCGGGUAUGCAUACCCGUUUGCAUGUACUUUAUGAAUAAGGAUCGGCUAACUCCGUGCCAGCAGCCCGCGGUAAUACGGAGGAUCCCGAGCGUUAUCCGGAUUUAUUGGGUUUAAAGGGAGCGUAGAUGGAUGUUUAAGUCAGUUGUGAAAGUUUGCGGCUCAACCGUAAAAUUGCAGUUGAUACUGGAUAUCUUG
This 607-nucleotide ribosomal RNA is filed under the name uncultured Bacteroidales bacterium. RNAcentral's name for it is "bacterial SSU rRNA". It matches the Rfam family "Bacterial small subunit ribosomal RNA", at positions 50 to 644 of the family's 1533-position model. The record is from RNAcentral. Lineage: Bacteria; Pseudomonadati; Bacteroidota; Bacteroidia; Bacteroidales.